AACGAACGCUGGCGGCAUGCCUAACACAUGCAAGUCGAACGAGACCUUCGGGUCUAGUGGCGCACGGGUGCGUAACGCGUGGGAACCUGCCCUUAGGUUCGGAAUAACUCCCCGAAAGGGGUGCUAAUACCGGAUAAUGUCUUCGGACCAAAGAUUUAUCGCCUUUGGAUGGGCCCGCGUUGGAUUAGCUAGUUGGUAGGGUAAAUGCCUACCAAGGCGACGAUCCAUAGCUGGUCUGAGAGGAUGAUCAGCCACACUGGGACUGAGACACGGCCCAGACUCCUACGGGAAGCAGCAGUGGGGAAUAUUGGACAAUGGGCGAAAGCCUGAUCCAGCAAUGCCGCGUGAGUGAUGAAGGCCUUAGGGUUGUAAAGCUCUUUUACCCGGGAUGAUAAUGACAGUACCGGGAGAAUAAGCUCCGGCUAACUCCGUG
RNAcentral lists this ribosomal RNA (433 nucleotides) under uncultured bacterium. RNAcentral's name for it is "partial 16S ribosomal RNA". It matches the Rfam family "Bacterial small subunit ribosomal RNA", at positions 29 to 507 of the family's 1533-position model. The record is from RNAcentral.